ACGUUCGACGUUUGAUAGUUCAUCAAAUAGUAGCGCUGUUAUUUGGUCGAUUUGAUCACCUGUCAGCUGCGCUACUGUUUUAGCAGCGCGUUUAGUAGCGACCGGUAGAGUGUCAAGUAAUGAUACUGCGCUGAUAAACGGUUUAUACUCACCACCGAAAUGAAGCUUAUGAUAAAUAAAAUACUGCUGCUUGCUGGUCACUGAUUGAAGAUCGUUCAGUGGCUACCAUUGGCCAAUCUCACCAACGGGAUAUAAUAAGAACUGAUGCAGGUUUAUAUCUAUAUGUAUUGUCUAUUCGGAACAAAGUUAGUACGCUUUUUAAACCGAUGUUGGAUUUCUCUCCAGAUACAGGCAAC
This is a long non-coding RNA of Armigeres subalbatus, 356 nucleotides long. RefSeq lists it as uncharacterized. Lineage: Eukaryota; Metazoa; Arthropoda; Insecta; Diptera; Culicidae. The record is from RefSeq and is a predicted model, not a curated record. The transcript is spliced from 3 exons.